This is a long non-coding RNA of Equus asinus (donkey), 6196 nucleotides long. NCBI's taxonomy places the organism in Eukaryota, Metazoa, Chordata, Mammalia, Perissodactyla, Equidae. The record is from Ensembl.
CUAAAAUUCAUCCGUCCUGUCCAUAAAGCUAUGGUCCACUUGUUUUCACUAUUAUAUUAUAAUCCUCUCUAUUAAGUUCCACAAGUAUUUAAUUGCUCUCCUGUCAAUGAACGUUUGAGUUGUUACAGCUUUCCACUGCUUUGAACGUGCUGAGCUGAUCAUUCUUGCACACGUCUCCUGGAAAACAAUAUGAGGGUACCAAUUUACAAUCCCACCAAAAAUGAACAUAGAAGGAUCCUAUUGAUCCACGUCGUCUCCAACACUUGGCAUUAUCAGACUUGUUCAUUUUUUCCAACUGAAAGAUUAUUAAAUGGUGUGUCGUUGUGGCCUGUUCGUUUUUGUUGGCUAUCCAGGUAUGUUUAACAGUAGUCACUGGUGUAGUGGGGAUCACCCUGCAAGGGGGCUGUGAAGAUGUGAGGAAGAACAGUAUGCUUGCAAAGCCUCUCACAAUUGGGACCGUGUCAUUGUCUUGUUCCCUCUGGGUCCCAACGCAGUACCUGGUCCCUCAUCACUGUUACCAUUGUCAUCAUCAUCACAACAGUAAUAGACAACAUUUAUUGAGCACCUACCAGAAACCUUAUAAAGGUAGGUUCUAUACUAUUCCAAAUAAAAGAUGGGGAACUAAAAUUAAGUAUCUUUCCCAGAAUCACACAAGUAGUAAAUGAUGGAGCAAGGAUCUGAACCCUGGCAUCUGACACCCAAGCCAUUAACCACUAUAUUAUAGGUGUCCAGUAAAUACUUGAAUGAAAUGCCUCUACCCACACAUAACCGGAGAUAGGGACAGAUGCCAUGGCACUUUUAGUUAUCUCCUAUCAAAUAUAUUUAAAAUGUACCCACAUUCUGGUUAUAAACAAAGCUUAAAGAUUUUUAUAAUUUUACUCUAGUCAAAUGUAGUUCAUUUCAUUUAUGAUUGGUUAUAAUUUCUGAGCAAUCAUGUGGACUUGAGAACUCUCAUUGAGAUCUAACCUACAAGUUCUUCUCAAAUGUCACGAGAUGUUUAUGAAUUCCUGCUUUACCAACAAUUCCCCUAACCCUGCUCUAUUUUUUUCUUACAUCAAUCACACUUAUUAUCUCUAACAUACCAUAUAAUUUACUUAUUAUUGUGCCUGUUAUUGACCCACAGGGCAGGAAUAUUUGUCUGCUUAGUUCCAUCUGUUUCUUUAAUCGCUUUAGCACUUAUGCAUCCCUUGUGCCUAAAACGGUGCAUGGCACAAAGCAGCAGCUCCACAAAUAUUUGUUGAAUGAAUGGGAUAAAUGUGUGCUUCCAGGAAAAAAAUGAAGGAGUGAAUGAAGCCAUGAAUACUCAAUUGAACAGUUAGUGGAGAUUGACUGUAUUUUGAUUUUGUGGUUUUAUUUUUCAUUUUGGAGCCAGCUUUUUUUUUCAGGUUUCAAACAUUUCUGUAGGCUUGGGAGGCCUGAGGUUUUGUAUCUAUAUACCUAAAGGAUAAAAACAGUCCUGGAGAUUCAAAACAAUGUUUUGUUGCCUUUUCUUUUAUCUCUUAAAAACCAACAACAUCAACAAUGAGCAGGCUGCCUUAAAUAAGACUGGCAAUGAGGCAGGAAGCAUUAAAAAACAAAACAAAGCAAAAAAUUCCUGGCAGCUUUAAUAUAGCAAUUUUUCUAGCAAUCUGCAUUGGCGUCCAGGUCCAGUGCACCCCACUACAUAUGUAAAACAUCUGACAUGUAUGUGACAGGCCUGAACCCCUGGCUGUUAUGCUGAUUCCCAAACUGGGGUGCAUGAGAUAAAUGCAGGGACCAGGAACCAUCCCUCCAAGUCGAGCUGUGGCUCAGUUCUCAGCCGGGCCAAACGAGUAAUUAUAGCUUCCCACUGUGGUGUGCAGGGCAGGAGGCUGAUUUAAUAAAGGAAGCCUGCUGUCUGUCUCCAGCCUGGCUCUGACUCAUGGAACCAGGGAGUCCCAGCAGCGCUGCCCACAGAGGGUGGUGAGCAGCUGGGGGGUGGGAGGUGAGGGUGGCCGGCUAGCAAAGCCGAAAGCCCAAGAAUGAGGAAACUCCCUGCUUGGCUUGGAGGAACCUGCAGCUGGAGGCAGAGGAAGUGAGGCUCAGACAGAGCAGCUGCUGUUCCAGCAACUGCAGCCAUUGCCGCACCCUUGAAAGGAGGCCCCUGCCGUGUGGAGAUGUAAAAUAAAAUGGGUUAGUAAUUUUCAUAUUCAAAAUUAAUUGGGGGAAAGACUGAAUUGCCUCUCCCAGGGACGGCUGCCUUUGUGUGGUAUACCGGUGGCGUCGGUUUCUUCAGGGGGCCUGGGUCAGACGAGUCGGGAGUGAGGAGCGUUCUGUGCAUUGGAUUCCCCACUUUGGCAGGGGAGCCAGCUAAUUAGGUCUUUACAGACACAGUGGCAGUUUGACCUGGGAGUGGCUUCAGCUACCGGAGGGUGACAGCCCGCUCUGGAAUGGAUUUGGAUUUCACUUUAGAUAGGUCACCAGAGGUCAUUUUAUCCCUCCUCCUGUCUCCAGCGGCUUCUUCCUCCUCCCCUGACACUCAGCCAGACGAGACAACUUGACCUCCUCCUCCAGGCCCUGUGGGCUAGGAGAUUCCGCUCCCACCCCUUCCCUUCUCGCUGAGUCACCCACCUCCCAGUCAGGUGAUCCUCCCCUGGGCCCUUCUGAGAGCACCUUGACCUAUAUUCUAAACUCUCCAUUACAGCCGAUUCUAAUUGUCCUGAGAGAGGGCCAGCCAGGCCAGCAGAGCGAGUAUGCUACCAGCAGCCCCAGGCUGCAGACAGGCGCCCCAGGCAGUGAGAGGGAGUGCUCCCCCUCCAAGAACGGGAACCACCAGAGAACCAGCACUGAAUAGGCCUGAAAAUGGAAAGUUAGGAGGCUGGAGGCUGUGCACCCGGCAAGGGAGGAGGGGGUGGUGAGUUGAGUCAGCUGGGAAAGCUGACAGCCACUGGGAGACACAUGCUUCCUCCCCUCCUGCUCUGGGCUCAGUGGCUCCCUGCCAGGCCCUGACUGAGCUGGCUGCUGGGAUGAGCCAUGAAGGACAGAUGCAAUGGCUCCAGGGUUGGGGGAUAUUGCUGCCCACGGGACAGGGGACAGGGAGAGGUGAAAAACUGUGCAAAUGCUGGAAUAGACCUGGAUGACUCAUCGGGAUAAUCCCAGCCGAGAAAACUUCCCCCCUGCAAGGAACAAGUUCCAAUGCUAAAGUUAGCCACAAAAUGGCCUCUACUUAUUUUGUCUGUGGGUUCUUUGUGCAGGGUCUGCGUGUGCAGUCUUUGUGGCCUUUGGAUGUGAGGAUAACGGGGGUGCUGUGGGAAAGGGGAUUAAAAGAGAAGAGUUCAGAAUCAAACUUUAAGCCUCAUCCUUGGCAUCAAGCUUGUAAAAAGCGAUAUUAACUGAAGAUCACAGUUCCUGUUGAAUUAGAAAGGGUGCUGCACUUCUUCAAAGCCUAGCCUUACCAGUUAGCAGCUCUGUGACUCGGGCAAAUCACUGUAUGCCUCCGUCUCCAAUCUGUCACAUGGGGGUUUAAUAAAACCACGCUUCAUCAGAUGGCGUGAGCAUCACAUCGAAUGACGUGUAAAAAUAGUCUAUUAGUUGUAUAUAAUUAUGCAUAACUAUAUGAUAUUCUUUUUUCUAGUUGUUAAGUCACUCCCCACUCCCAUCUGGGAGGAUUAUUUUAUUGGUUGAAUGUCCCAAACAUAGAAGAGCCUGCCUCUGGGUGUGUUUACUAAUGUCAAUAGAACACUGUAGCCUCUGGCUGCAUUAUGGUCUACCAAGUCUAACACACAGCCCCCAGAGCAUCUGUAUACACCACCCACAGGUUGGUUAUACAUCAUUUUAUCCUUUUAUCUCAAAAGCUGUGCAUGUAUCCUAAUUUGGGUAACAAUCUGCAGAUUGGAGUGUACUCCAAUUUUUUAAUCAGAAUGUAAACGUAUGAAGUUAAUGCCUGGUGCACAGUGGGUGCUAGGUGGCAGGGAAAGUGCACAUGAGAUGGAUAGAAGGAAAGAAGAAGGGAAGAAGGAAAGGAUAGGAGGAGGAAGGAAAUUAGAUAACUAGAGGAGCAGAGCUGGAUUUACCAGAAAGCUAGUUAUGCUUAAGCUUUAGGGCCCCUUGCUUGCAUGGGUCCCUUCAAAGGCCUGGUCCCUAAUUUCUAAUUAGUGUAUUCCUUUCCUUCCAGCGUUGUACUCCUCAGGCCCCACCAGACCUGGAUCUGCUCCUUUAUGGCUGGUCUCUGAGAGACCCAACCCUUGUUCAUAUUUAUGAUUCAUAAGCUUAAAAGAAAUGCAAGUGGUAUGGGGGAUGUGGCAUUUCCAUGUUGUCUCCACCAUGAACUCCAAAUCUGAAAUGUGUAGGAAGAUCCACAUUUGGCCAGGCAAGAACAACACCAUAAGGAAUGCGAUGUGAAAAGAAGGUGGAGGUCAGGAAUGUGCUGAAUUAUUGGGCCAAUUCCAAUUGCGUUCUGGAAUCCACUCUGGUACCUCGAGGGCUCUUCACUUUCCAGACAUCUGUUGACAACCACCAUGGGCCAGCACUGCCACAGCGCUGAGGAUGGAGCGGACAGACAAGAAGCCUUAUUCCGUGGAGCUUGUGUUCUAGUGGAGGUAGAGAAAAAAUAAAUGAGUAAAACAUAGUAUAUCAUAUGGUGCUAAGUGGUAUGGAGAAAAAUAAAGCGGGGAAUGCCAUAGCGAGAGUGGGGUGCAGGAGGGAGGGUCACAGUUUUGAUUUAAAGUGGUUACAGAAAGCUUCAGUGAAAAAGUAGCGUUUGAACAAAGCCCUGGUGGAGGGAAGGUGAUACAAUGGUGGCCCUUCGGGUAAAGUAAAUAAACCUCCUCCUUUGCGGCAUAAUUAGGGGCUAAGUUAUUUUUAUCUCCAAAUGUUCUUUUCACCAACUAUUCAUGAUCCCUAAAAUUCUAUUUUUAGUAAUAUACUCUUUUAGGUUAAAAUGCUAAAGUAAAAAUAUUUAGUUAUCAACUAUUAAAACUUCUGUGUGAAUUUGUUUAUCUGAUAUUUUAAGUUCUAACGAGCAAGGAGGGUGAGGUGAUUGAACAGGAGGAAGUUUAUGUGGAGAUAACGCAUCUUGGGAAGUGCAGGGAGGAAGAAUGUGACGUGGGAGCCUGAUGGCCACUGCUGGACUGAACUGCUCCUUAAGAAUUGCUCCUGUUUCUCCCCCGUGCCCACGCUGCCCAGUCCUGGGGCAGAUCCUGGGGCUCUCAGCCAGUUCUUCCUAACCGUAGUGCUAACUGAGGUGCCCUGGAUGCAGGAAACAGGCUGAUGAGUGGUUUAAUAAUGCAUCUCCUGAGGGCCUUGGAGCGUUUGGAGUCGUGCUGUAGAUAGUGGUAUAAAUGGGGACACACAGGAAAGCGCUUCUGGCACUUGUAGCUCUAUUAGUCUAUGGUUAAUUUAAUAGCCCUCAGAAAAAUAAACGAGUCAGGAAACUCUGAAAGUUUCCUCCUUAAUCAAGGCAGGAAAGCAGCAUUAUUUAUGAUGGCAUUUGCCUCAUCUUUUGAAAUUAGAUUGUCCCCUAUAUCUGUAUCUUAGGUUUACCUUUGUUCCUAUAAGUUCAAUUCUCAAAAAUGCUUCUAUAGACAUAAGCUUUGGACCAUGGGGCAAAACUCAAAUGCCCACAGGGAAGACAGUAAUGGACACACAGGAAGGGACUGGUGGAGACUGUGCCACCCUGGGGAGUGCAUCCUCUACUCAGCUCUUGGGAUUGUUAUCAAUUGGGUAUGAGAGGUCAAUGUUGCUAGACUUUCUUAUUUUUCAAGAGAAGCUGGAAAUCCAAAUUUUUAGGCCUAAUCUUCUGAUUUUUAAAUGUUGGCAACUAAUUCCAGAUAGGUAGACUGUGCAGGUCAAUUUAUGAUCUCUGACAUAAACGGAUAAUUUUGGUACAGCAUGGAACAUGAUAGGAAAGGUAGUCCAAGGAGAGACAGCUGAUCAACCUCACAGUUUGAGAAGAUAGAUUUUUUUUAGGGAGUUGACCCCUGCGCCAAGAUCUGCCUCAUCUAUUUAGCCAAUGGGUUAUUUUGGAGAAACGAGUCGCAUCUGAGUAGUCCUGGUGGGGUGGGAGAAAAUGCUGAACUGGGAAGUCGAGGCCUAGGUCCUAGUCUUGGUUCUCUUGCAAACUCACUGUACCGCCUUCGGUAGAUCUCUCAGCCUCUUGGGGUUUAUCAGCAGAAUGAGGGGCUGGACUUAAGGGUUUUCAAAAUGUGCCCCCGCAAGCCCAGGAGUCUUCAGAGAUGCC